AUUUCUUUAUGAUUCGAAAGAACAUAAAUAAACACAAAACACACCGAGCCUAGCAUAAUUUUCAGUACCAACGUACAAAACAGAACCAACGCAACAACAAGUAAGCAAGAACACAAAGAUUCUAAGCGAAGAUUUGGUCGACAGGCUUGUCAACUUCUUUGUGGUCACGCUCCUCUUUAGCCAGCUUCUUGAGGCGAGCAAGCUCCAAAUCUCUUCCCAUCUUUCUCUUAUACAUCUCGGCAAACGUGAUUGGCUCCUCCAAUAUUGCCUUCUCUCCUUCUCUUACUUUCAGUGGAUACACUGUGGCAUCCGGCGCGGGGUUCUGGAACGUGGCUAUGGAUAAUCUGCUCGAGUUAGAGUUCACCACGGCCUGAUGAUCAGCAUUCUUGAACCUCCCAUUGCUCAAAAACUUCAUCAAGACAAAUCAAGAUUGACCAAGUCAAAACCAAAAACAGAGAAACAAAAAAGCCAAUAAAUGGAUAGAGUACUAACAUGGCCGUGGUCGCCGAGAUUGACGACAAACGCUCCUUCAACAGGCUGAACCGUAAUCCAUGUCUUGCCAUUGUCACGUGUGGCUUGUAAUCCACCGACUUGGUCUUGUAGCAGCAAGGUAAUGGUUCCAGGGUCAGUGUGACGCUUGAGUCCGAGGGUGAGAUCAGGCUGAGGGCAUUUUGGGUAAUAAUUAACAACAAUCUUUUGGUCCAUAUCGACGCAUGCAUUGGUAAGAGACUCUUUCUCAAGACCCAUAGCUUCAGACAAAACCUCAAGAAGCUUACAAGCCAAACUCAUAAGCCUCUCACUAUACUCCUCCGUCACUUUCACCCAACCUUCCGGCUUAUCUGGCCACCGUGAGUAGUCUCUGUUUCUCACCGGGUACGAGAAAUACGUUACAAUCUCUCUCCAAUCUUGCACAGCCUCUCCCUGUAUUUAUAGUAUAAUUAUUAUGUCUUUAACGGCAAGAUUAAAACAUAAUUACGUAUUUAACCUAGAAGAUUGUGGUGUGGCUUUUACCUGGAGGUGACUAGAGACGAUGAAUCCUCCUUUUUUACCACCGGACAUGUCGAAACGGAGCUUGUCUUCCGGAGGUAAAGCAAAGAAGUCACGAGCGAGACGAGUCAUAUCCGCCACUAAGUUAGUAUCGACGCCGUGAUCGACCACUUGGAAGAUGCCCCAAUUCUCACAAGCCUCAACGAUCUGACGGCAGAUCUCUCCUCUUUUUCCAUCGACGUCAUCGAUACCGGCGAGAGAGAUCACCGGGAUUUCGUCGCUAAACACAUUGUAAGCGACUUUGGGCCGUUCAUCUUCGUCCCUGACAAAUUUAGAGUUGAGCUUAGACUCUCCGGCUAGCUCAGUCAAAGUUCCUGGAGCCAUUGUAAUUACGAAGACAAAAGACUAAAUUAAGAGAGAUAUAGAAAGAAGAGAUGUGUAAUGAAUAUAUAAAGGAGAGAGUGGUAGCUGAAAAUCUUUCAAAGCUUGUGAUGACUGACGAACGAAGAGGUCGCUAGCUACCUACCACGGUACUACUGCUCUCUCUUCUCUUUCUAGAACACAAUUUACUCAACUAACUACAUCUGUUUUUAACUUCAGAAAAUAAAAUAAAAAAUACAUACGGUAUAAUAAUAUUUUGUAGGAAAACAUUAUAAACUUAAUUAUCUAUUUAUUUUUUAUGC
Long non-coding RNA from Arabidopsis thaliana (thale cress), 1670 nucleotides. RefSeq annotates it as other RNA. The transcript has a single exon. NCBI's taxonomy places the organism in Eukaryota, Viridiplantae, Streptophyta, Magnoliopsida, Brassicales, Brassicaceae. The record is from RefSeq.